Molecule: unclassified non-coding RNA, 646 nt
Filed under: Hevea brasiliensis (rubber tree)
Lineage: Eukaryota; Viridiplantae; Streptophyta; Magnoliopsida; Malpighiales; Euphorbiaceae
Source: RNAcentral
CGGAGAUGGUGGCGAAAUACAAGAAACUAUCUUUAGAGAAAAUGUUCCGUAUUCUCGAUCUCUACGACUCUAUUUCUGAACUUUUGAGUGAAAUUGAAGUGAUUUUUGGCUUCGAUUCUAUGGUUGCUGUUAAAUCUCAGGCGCUGACCUCCAUGGCCAAGCUCCGAGAUGCUGCUCGAGCCAUGCUGGCGGAGUUCGAAUCGGCGAUUAAGAAAGAUUCAUCUAAAGUAGUGGCUGGUGGCGGAAUCCAUCCUCUGACACGCUACGUUAUGAACUACCUUAUUUUCCUCAGUGAUUACAGUGGACCCAUCUCAGAUAUUAUCGCCGAUUGGAAGGCAGUGGUAAAGUCACCGUUGCCGGAAUCUUACCUCUUGAGUCCAAUCGCCGACGAUGGGGACUCACCGUCUUGUAUCGUUUCCGUACGACUCACAUGGCUUAUCCUCGUUCUCCUCUGCAAACUCGACGGCAAAGCAGGGUUCUACGGUGACGUUCCGUUAUCCUAUUUGUUCUUAGCAAACAACCUGAACUACGUCGUUUCAAAGGUCCGACAAUCCAGCCUGAAGCUCCUAUUAGGACCCGAUUGGCUUUCAAACCACGAAGCUAAGGUAGAACAAUACAUGGCGAAUUUCAAGAGAAUGGGUUGGAG